GAUUGAACGCUGGCGGCAGGCCUAACACAUGCAAGUCGAGCGGUAGCACAGAGAGCUUGCUCUCGGGUGACGAGCGGCGGACGGGUGAGUAAUGUCUGGGAAACUGCCUGAUGGAGGGGGAUAACUACUGGAAACGGUAGCUAAUACCGCAUAAUGUCGCAAGACCAAAGUGGGGGACCUUCGGGCCUCAUGCCAUCAGAUGUGCCCAGAUGGGAUUAGCUAGUAGGUGGGGUAACGGCUCACCUAGGCGACGAUCCCUAGCUGGUCUGAGAGGAUGACCAGCCACACUGGAACUGAGACACGGUCCAGACUCCUACGGGAGGCAGCAGUGGGGAAUAUUGCACAAUGGGCGCAAGCCUGAUGCAGCCAUGCCGCGUGUGUGAAGAAGGCCUUCGGGUUGUAAAGCACUUUCAGCGGGGAGGAAGGCGGUGAGGUUAAUAACCUCAUCGAUUGACGUUACCCGCAGAAGAAGCACCGGCUAACUCCGUGCCAGCAGCCGCGGUAAUACGGAGGGUGCAAGCGUUAAUCGGAAUUACUGGGCGUAAAGCGCACGCAGGCGGUCUGUCAAGUCGGAUGUGAAAUCCCCGGGCUUAACCUGGGAACUGCAUUCGAAACUGGCAGGCUAGAGUCUUGUAGAGGGGGGUAGAAUUCCAGGUGUAGCGGUGAAAUGCGUAGAGAUCUGGAGGAAUACCGGUGGCGAAGGCGGCCCCCUGGACAAAGACUGACGCUCAGGUGCGAAAGCGUGGGGAGCAAACAGGAUUAGAUACCCUGGUAGUCCACGCCGUAAACGAUGUCGAUUUGGAGGUUGUGCCCUUGAGGCGUGGCUUCCGGAGCUAACGCGUUAAAUCGACCGCCUGGGGAGUACGGCCGCAAGGUUAAAACUCAAAUGAAUUGACGGGGGCCCGCACAAGCGGUGGAGCAUGUGGUUUAAUUCGAUGCAACGCGAAGAACCUUACCUGGUCUUGACAUCCACAGAACUUUCCAGAGAUGGAUUGGUGCCUUCGGGAACUGUGAGACAGGUGCUGCAUGGCUGUCGUCAGCUCGUGUUGUGAAAUGUUGGGUUAAGUCCCGCAACGAGCGCAACCCUUAUCCUUUGUUGCCAGCGGUUCGGCCGGGAACUCAAAGGAGACUGCCAGUGAUAAACUGGAGGAAGGUGGGGAUGACGUCAAGUCAUCAUGGCCCUUACGACCAGGGCUACACACGUGCUACAAUGGCAUAUACAAAGAGAAGCGACCUCGCGAGAGCAAGCGGACCUCAUAAAGUAUGUCGUAGUCCGGAUUGGAGUCUGCAACUCGACUCCAUGAAGUCGGAAUCGCUAGUAAUCGUAGAUCAGAAUGCUACGGUGAAUACGUUCCCGGGCCUUGUACACACCGCCCGUCACACCAUGGGAGUGGGUUGCAAAAGAAGUAGGUAGCUUAACCUUCGGGAGGGCGCUUACCACUUUGUGAUUCAUGACUGGGGUGAAGUCGUAACAAGG
RNAcentral lists this ribosomal RNA (1477 nucleotides) under uncultured bacterium. RNAcentral describes it as "bacterial SSU rRNA". It matches the Rfam family "Bacterial small subunit ribosomal RNA". The record is from RNAcentral.